RNAcentral lists this ribosomal RNA (484 nucleotides) under uncultured bacterium. RNAcentral describes it as "partial 16S ribosomal RNA". It matches the Rfam family "Bacterial small subunit ribosomal RNA", at positions 30 to 507 of the family's 1533-position model. The record is from RNAcentral.
AUUGAACGCUGGCGGCAGGCCUAACACAUGCAAGUCGAGCGGAUGAAGGGAGCUUGCGCCUGGAUUCAGCGGCGGACGGGUGAGUAAUGCCUAGGAAUAUGCCUGGUAGUGGGGGAUAACGUCCGGAAACGGGCGCUAAUACCGCAUACGUCCUGAGGGAGAAAGUGGGGGAUCUUCGGACCUCUCGCUAUCAGAUGAGCCUAGGUCGGAUUAGCUAGUUGGUGGGGUAAAGGCCUACCAAGGCGACGAUCCGUAACUGGUCUGAGAGGAUGAUCAGUCACACUGGAACUGAGACACGGUCCAGACUCCUACGGGAGGCAGCAGUGGGGAAUAUUGGACAAUGGGCGAAAGCCUGAUCCAGCCAUGCCGCGUGUGUGAAGAAGGUCUUCGGAUUGUAAAGCACUUUAAGUUGGGAGGAAGGGCAGUAAGUUAAUACCUUGCUGUUUUGACGUUACCAACAGAAUAAGCACCGGCUAACUUCGUG